UGAGACUUGUAUCCCCGGGACAUGGGAGUUAACCUGGGAAUGCAGCCCAUUCUCCUUUUUCGAGAACUGCCGAUCAUCAUGGAAAGAUUCACCACCUUGUUACUGAAACAAUCCAGUUCCGAGACGCCGUUCCUUACCAGUUCCCAGCCUGCACUGCCUGUAGCCUGCAUCAUUCCCCUGGCCUGCUCCCCAUGGCUGUCACUCCUACUUCCCAUGUAAUCUCUGUCCUUCUACCCAAUAUCAGUAGCUGGUUUAUGGGGAAGAGCGGAUUUUCAUGGAUGACCUGCCGCUCUCCCACACUGCCGGCCUUGUUGGAAUAAACUCGCAUAUACGACUCAACCCUGUCUCUGCUGACCUGGCUCAAGUAGUGACAGGCAGCCCGGACCCAUUGGUUGUCUGGCUUCAGAGUCAUCGCCCAGCUCUGCAGCUAACACCUGGACGUACCUGUUGGAGGCAAGCGACUACCCAGGGCGGCUGGGCUGCAUGGAGACAGCGCUCCCACUGGCCUGGAGGGUUCCUGCACCACCUGAGCUGGGCAGAGUGCAGGCGGAGGAGAGAUUCUGAGCCGACCACUUUGCCUGGUUCGAUGACCCAGUCAGUCAAGAGUGUGGUCCACACCUGUGCCUCCCUCCUUGUGAGGAGACGGAAGGAAGCCGCAAUGGCUUCCUGACGUUCCUUCCUGUGUUGGGGGAGCCCACCCCUGUGUCCACCUGGCCUCCACACAUGGACUAUUAGACUUUAAUUAGCUUGGACACCAGACUACUCCCCCCGUCACAUGGAAAGGAGGCUCCAGACACCGGCCUGCACUUGGAACCCCAGCUAUCCCUUCUCCAGGACUGGCUUCUCCCAGUAAAC
Myotis myotis is the source of this 855-nucleotide long non-coding RNA. RefSeq lists it as uncharacterized. The transcript has 3 exons. Lineage: Eukaryota; Metazoa; Chordata; Mammalia; Chiroptera; Vespertilionidae. The record is from RefSeq and is a predicted model, not a curated record.